Molecule: non-coding RNA, 54 nt
Filed under: Marmota monax (woodchuck)
Lineage: Eukaryota; Metazoa; Chordata; Mammalia; Rodentia; Sciuridae
Rfam family: Editing element of GABA-3 exon 9
Source: RNAcentral
AAGGUGGCUUAUGCAACAGCUAUGGAUUGGUUCAUUGCCGUGUGCUAUGCCUUU